UCUUUUACCUAAAAAAAUACAUCAAUUCCAUAUUAGUAUUAAGAUGCAUGACAAAAUCAAGUUGAAAGUAACAUGCUGCAAAAUGACAGUAAUAACAAUAACAUGCAUGUAUAUAAUGUAAUAAUAUUAACAUGCAUUAAAAACUAGUAAAAACAGAAACUAUUAAAAACAAAAACAAUAAGAAGAAAAAUAAAUUAAAACAAUAAGUGAACAAUUGAGUACACUGGAAUAAAAUAAAAACAAUAAAUGAAA
This 252-nucleotide long non-coding RNA is filed under the name Panax ginseng (ginseng). RNAcentral's name for it is "long non-coding RNA (PGIN_LNC009147)". Lineage: Eukaryota; Viridiplantae; Streptophyta; Magnoliopsida; Apiales; Araliaceae. The record is from RNAcentral.